UGAUGGCACAUUACUCAUGUGGGAUCAUGGU
RNAcentral lists this non-coding RNA (31 nucleotides) under Rattus norvegicus (Norway rat). The record is from RNAcentral. Lineage: Eukaryota; Metazoa; Chordata; Mammalia; Rodentia; Muridae.